GCAAGUCGAGCGGACAGAAGGGAGCUUGCUCCCGGAUGUUAGCGGCGGACGGGUGAGUAACACGUGGGUAACCUGCCUGUAAGACUGGGAUAACUCCGGGAAACCGGAGCUAAUACCGGAUAGUUCCUUGAACCGCAUGGUUCAAGGAUGAAAGACGGUUUCGGCUGUCACUUACAGAUGGACCCGCGGCGCAUUAGCUAGUUGGUGAGGUAACGGCUCACCAAGGCGACGAUGCGUAGCCGACCUGAGAGGGUGAUCGGCCACACUGGGACUGAGACACGGCCCAGACUCCUACGGGAGGCAGCAGUAGGGAAUCUUCCGCAAUGGACGAAAGUCUGACGGAGCAACGCCGCGUGAGUGAUGAAGGUUUUCGGAUCGUAAAGCUCUGUUGUUAGGGAAGAACAAGUGCAAGAGUAACUGCUUGCACCUUGACGGUACCUAACCAGAAAGCCACGGCUAACUACGUGCCAGCAGCCGCGGUAAUACGUAGGUGGCAAGCGUUGUCCGGAAUUAUUGGGCGUAAAGGGCUCGCAGGCGGUUUCUUAAGUCUGAUGUGAAAGCCCCCGGCUCAACCGGGGAGGGUCAUUGGAAACUGGGAAACUUGAGUGCAGAAGAGGAGAGUGGAAUUCCACGUGUAGCGGUGAAAUGCGUAGAGAUGUGGAGGAACACCAGUGGCGAAGGCGACUCUCUGGUCUGUAACUGACGCU
Molecule: ribosomal RNA, 707 nt
Filed under: Bacillus aerophilus
Lineage: Bacteria; Bacillati; Bacillota; Bacilli; Caryophanales; Bacillaceae
Description: bacterial SSU rRNA
Rfam family: Bacterial small subunit ribosomal RNA
Source: RNAcentral